Molecule: ribosomal RNA, 253 nt
Filed under: uncultured bacterium
Lineage: Bacteria
Description: partial 16S ribosomal RNA
Rfam family: Bacterial small subunit ribosomal RNA
Source: RNAcentral
UACGAAGGGGGCUAGCGUUGUUCGGAUUUACUGGGCGUAAAGCGCACGUAGGCGGGUUGUUAAGUCAGGGGUGAAAUCCUGGAGCUCAACUCCAGAACUGCCUUUGAUACUGGCAACCUAGAGGCUGGAAGAGGUUAGUGGAAUUCCCAGUGUAGGGGUGAAAUUCGUAGAUAUUGGGAAGAACACCAGUGGCGAAGGCGGCUAACUGGUCCAGAUCUGACGCUGAGGUGCGAAAGCGUGGGGAGCAAACAGG